This 68-nucleotide unclassified non-coding RNA is filed under the name Pedobacter terrae. Its description in RNAcentral is "Flavo-1 RNA". The record is from RNAcentral. Lineage: Bacteria; Pseudomonadati; Bacteroidota; Sphingobacteriia; Sphingobacteriales; Sphingobacteriaceae.
UCCUAAACCCGGUAGAAGCGGCAGCCCCCGAUUGCAAUUCGGGGCUAUAGCGGAUAACGGGGCUGCUG